CACGUAGGGGGCGAGCGUUGUCCGGAUUUAUUGGGCGUAAAGAGCUCGUAGGCGGCUCAGUAAGUCGGGUGUGAAAACUCCAGGCUCAACCUGGAGACGCCACCUGAUACUGCUGUGGCUAGAGUCCGGUAGGGGAGCAUGGAAUUCCUGGUGUAGCGGUGAAAUGCGCAGAUAUCAGGAGGAACACCGGUGGCGAAGGCGGGUCUCUGGGCAGUAACUGACGCUGAGGAGCGAAAGCGUGGGGAGCGAACAGG
This 254-nucleotide ribosomal RNA is filed under the name uncultured bacterium. RNAcentral describes it as "partial 16S ribosomal RNA". It matches the Rfam family "Bacterial small subunit ribosomal RNA", at positions 524 to 776 of the family's 1533-position model. The record is from RNAcentral.